RNAcentral lists this ribosomal RNA (421 nucleotides) under uncultured bacterium. RNAcentral describes it as "bacterial SSU rRNA". It matches the Rfam family "Bacterial small subunit ribosomal RNA", at positions 356 to 774 of the family's 1533-position model. The record is from RNAcentral.
GAGGAAUAUUGGUCAAUGGGGGCAACCCUGAACCAGCCAAGUCGCGUGAAGGAUGAAGGUCUUAUGGAUUGUAAACUUCUUUUAUACAGGAAUAAAUUGGGGGACGUGUCCCCUUUUGCAUGUACUGUAUGAAUAAGGAUCGGCUAACUCCGUGCCAGCAGCCGCGGUAAUACGGAGGAUCCGAGCGUUAUCCGGAUUUAUUGGGUUUAAAGGGUGCGUAGGUGGGCUUAUAAGUCAGUGGUGAAAUCUCCGAGCUUAACUUGGAAACUGCCGUUGAUACUAUAGGUCUUGAAUUAUCUGGAGGUAAGCGGAAUAUGUCAUGUAGCGGUGAAAUGCUUAGAUAUGACAUAGAACACCAAUUGCGAAGGCAGCUUACUACAUAUAAAUUGACGCUGAGGCACGAAAGCGUGGGGAUCAAACA